UAAGGUAUAACUCAGUGGCAGAGUACCGCGCUUGUAUCGCGGGAGUCUUGGGUUCGAUUCCCAAUACCUUAGACA
RNAcentral lists this transfer RNA (75 nucleotides) under Aquimarina amphilecti. RNAcentral describes it as "tRNA_Thr_TGT". It matches the Rfam family "tRNA". Rfam says of the family: Transfer RNA (tRNA) molecules are approximately 80 nucleotides in length. Lineage: Bacteria; Pseudomonadati; Bacteroidota; Flavobacteriia; Flavobacteriales; Flavobacteriaceae. The record is from RNAcentral.